This 233-nucleotide ribosomal RNA is filed under the name uncultured bacterium. RNAcentral's name for it is "partial 16S ribosomal RNA". It matches the Rfam family "Bacterial small subunit ribosomal RNA", at positions 118 to 347 of the family's 1533-position model. The record is from RNAcentral.
UGAGGAACAUGACCUUCGGCGGGGGAUAGCCGGCCCAACGGCCGGGUAAUACCGCGUACGACCACAUGGGGACAUCCCUGAGUGGUGAAAGCAGCAAUGCGCCGAUGGAGUGCCUCGCGGCCUAUCAGCUAGUUGGUGAGGUAACGGCUCACCAAGGCGACGACGGGUAGCUGGUCUGAGAGGAUGGCCAGCCACAUUGGGACUGAGACACGGCCCAGACCUGUACGGGGAGG